Chrysoperla carnea is the source of this 145-nucleotide small nucleolar RNA. Lineage: Eukaryota; Metazoa; Arthropoda; Insecta; Neuroptera; Chrysopidae. The record is from RefSeq and is a predicted model, not a curated record.
UUUUGGCCCUAUCGAAGCUUAAUCUUGUUUAUUUAAUAACAAAUUUGAGUCAAAAUGAGGCCCAUAUCAAAAUUUUAACUCUUAAGGUCACUGGUUAGUUAGUUAAUAUAACUUUCACAGUAUUACCCUGAGUUCGAACAUAAAA